This 496-nucleotide ribosomal RNA is filed under the name uncultured bacterium. RNAcentral's name for it is "partial 16S ribosomal RNA". It matches the Rfam family "Bacterial small subunit ribosomal RNA", at positions 28 to 507 of the family's 1533-position model. The record is from RNAcentral.
GAUGAACGCUGGCGGCGUGCCUAAUACAUGCAAGUCGAGCGAACAGAUGAGGAGCUUGCUCCUCUGACGUUAGCGGCGGACGGGUGAGUACACGUGGAUAACCUACCUAUAAGACUGGGAUAACUUCGGGAAACCGGAGCUAAUACCGGAUAAUAUAUUGAACCGCAUGGUUCAAUAGUGAAAGACGGUUUUGCUGUCACUUAUAGAUGGAUCCGCGCCGCAUUAGCUAGUUGGUAAGGUAACGGCUUACCAAGGCAACGAUGCGUAGCCGACCUGAGAGGGGGAUCGGCCACCUUGGAACUUGGCCGCCGUCCAGACUCCUACGGGAGGGCGCAGUAGGGAAUCUGCCGCAAUGGGCGAAAGCCUGACGGAGCAACGCCGCGUGAGUGAUGACGGUGCUCGGAUCGUAAAACUCUGUUAUGAGGGAAGAACAAAUGUGUAAGUAACUAUGCACGUCUUGACGGUACCUAAUCAGAAAGCCACGGCUAACUACGUG